AGAAUCAACGCUGGCGGCGUGCCUCAGACAUGCAAGUCGAACGCGAAAGUUCCCUUCGGGGGGCAAGUAGAGUGGCGCACGGGUGAGUAACACGUAGGUAAUCUACCUUUGGAUGGGGGAAUAACAACCGGAAAACGGUUGCUAAUACCGCAUAAUGCAGCGGCACCUAAUGGUGACAGUUGUUAAAGCGGGGGAUCGAAAGACCUCGCGUCUGAAGAGGAGCCUGCGGCGGAUUAGCUAGUUGGUAAGGUAAUGGCUUACAAGGCUACGAUCC
Molecule: ribosomal RNA, 274 nt
Filed under: uncultured bacterium
Lineage: Bacteria
Description: partial small subunit ribosomal RNA
Rfam family: Bacterial small subunit ribosomal RNA
Source: RNAcentral